Molecule: ribosomal RNA, 291 nt
Filed under: Piophila nigriceps
Lineage: Eukaryota; Metazoa; Arthropoda; Insecta; Diptera; Piophilidae
Description: partial 18S rRNA
Rfam family: Eukaryotic small subunit ribosomal RNA
Source: RNAcentral
CUCAACACGGGAAAACUUACCAGGUCCGAACAUAAGUGUGUAAGACAGAUUGAUAGCUCUUUCUCGAAUCUAUGGGUGGUGGUGCAUGGCCGUUCUUAGUUCGUGGAGUGAUUUGUCUGGUUAAUUCCGAUAACGAACGAGACUCAAAUAUAUUAAAUAGAUGCUUUCAGGAUUAUGGUGUUGAAGCUUAUAUAGCCUUCAUUCAUGAAUGCAGUAAAAUGUAUAAGUGUUUGAAUGUGUUUAUAUAAGUGGAGCCGUACCUGUUGGUUUGUCCCAUUAUAAGGACACUAG